UCAGAAAACCUGUAUGUCUU
This 20-nucleotide unclassified non-coding RNA is filed under the name Mus musculus (house mouse). Its description in RNAcentral is "oocyte_clustered_small_RNA12204". The record is from RNAcentral. Lineage: Eukaryota; Metazoa; Chordata; Mammalia; Rodentia; Muridae.